UAAGGUUAAGUUAAUAAGGGCGCACGGUGGAUGCCUUGGCACUAGAAGCCGAUGAAGGACGUGACUAACGACGAAAUGCUUUGGGGAGCUGUAAGUGAGCAAUGAUCCAGAGAUGUCCGAAUGGGGGAACCCGGCAGGUAAUGCCUGUCACUCAUUACUGUUAAGGUAAUGUAGAGGAAGACGCAGUGAACUGAAACAUCUAAGUAGCUGUAGGAAGAGAAAGCAAAAGCGAUUGCCUUAGUAGCGGCGAGCGAAACGGCAAGAGGGCAAACCGAAGAGUUUACUCUUCGGGGUUGUAGGACUGCAACGUGGACUUAAAGAUUAUAGAAGAACUACCUGGGAAGGUAGGCCAAAGAGAGUAAUAGCCUCGUAUUCGAAAUAGUCUUUAUACCUAGCAGUAUCCUGAGUACGGCGAGACACGAGAAAUCUCGUCGGAAUCUGGGAGGACCAUCUCCCAACCCUAAAUACUCUCUAGUGACCGAUAGUGAACCAGUACCGUGAGGGAAAGGUGAAAAGCACCCCGGGAGGGGAGUGAAAUAGAACCUGAAACCGUGUGCCUACAACAAGUUCGAGCCCGUUAAUGGGUGAGAGCGUGCCUUUUGUAGAAUGAACCGGCGAGUUACGAUAUGAUGCGAGGUUAAGUUGAAGAGACGGAGCCGUAGGGAAACCGAGUCUUAAUAGGGCGCAUUAGUAUCAUGUCGUAGACCCGAAACCAUGUGACCUACCCAUGAGCAGGUUGAAGGUGAGGUAAAACUCACUGGAGGACCGAACCAGGGCACGUUGAAAAGUGCUUGGAUGACUUGUGGGUAGCGGAGAAAUUCCAAACGAACUUGGAGAUAGCUGGUUCUCUCCGAAAUAGCUUUAGGGCUAGCGUCGAUGUUAAGUCUCUUGGAGGUAGAGCACUGUUUGGGUGAGGGGUCCAUCCCGGAUUACCAAUCUCAGAUAAACUCCGAAUGCCAAUGAGAUAUAAUCGGCAGUCAGACUGCGAGUGCUAAGAUCCGUAGUCGAAAGGGAAACAGCCCAGACCACCAGCUAAGGUCCCAAAAUAUAUGUUAAGUGGAAAAGGAUGUGGGGUUGCACAGACAACUAGGAUGUUAGCUUAGAAGCAGCUAUUCAUUCAAAGAGUGCGUAAUAGCUCACUAGUCGAGUGACCCUGCGCCGAAAAUGUACCGGGGCUAAAACAUAUUACCGAAGCUGUGGAUACCUUUAUAGGUAUGGUAGGAGAGCGUUCUAUGUGCGAAGAAGGUGUACCGUGAGGAGUGCUGGAGCGCAUAGAAGUGAGAAUGCCGGUAUGAGUAGCGAAAGACAGGUGAGAAUCCUGUCCACCGUAAGACUAAGGUUUCCAGGGGAAGGCUCGUCCGCCCUGGGUUAGUCGGGACCUAAGGAGAGACCGAAAGGUGUAUCCGAUGGACAACAGGUUGAUAUUCCUGUACUAGAGUAUAUAGUGAUGGAGGGACGCAGUAGGCUAACUAAACCAGACGAUUGGAAGUGUCUGGCCAAGCAGUGAGGUGUGAUAUGAGUCAAAUGCUUAUAUCUUUAACAUUGAGCUGUGAUGGGGAGCGAAGUUUAGUAGCGAAGUUAGUGAUGUCACACUGCCGAGAAAAGCUUCUAGCGUUAAUUAUACUCUACCCGUACCGCAAACCGACACAGGUAGUCGAGGCGAGUAGCCUCAGGUGAGCGAGAGAACUCUCGUUAAGGAACUCGGCAAAAUGGCCCCGUAACUUCGGGAGAAGGGGCGCUGACUGAUGGUCAGCCGCAGUGAAUAGGCCCAAGCAACUGUUUAUCAAAAACACAGCUCUCUGCUAAAUCGUAAGAUGAUGUAUAGGGGGUGACGCCUGCCCGGUGCUGGAAGGUUAAGAGGAGUGCUUAGCGUAAGCGAAGGCAUGAAUUGAAGCCCCAGUAAACGGCGGCCGUAACUAUAACGGUCCUAAGGUAGCGAAAUUCCUUGUCGGGUAAGUUCCGACCCGCACGAAAGGCGUAAUGAUUUGGGCACUGUCUCAACGAGAGACUCGGUGAAAUUUUAGUACCUGUGAAGAUGCAGGUUACCCGCGACAGGACGGAAAGACCCCAUGGAGCUUUACUGCAGUUUGAUAUUGAGUAUCUGUACCACAUGUACAGGAUAGGUAGGAGCCUAUGACCUCGGGACGCCAGUUUCGAGUGAGGCGUUGUUGGGAUACUACCCUUGUGUUAUGGCUACUCUAACCCAGAUAGGUUAUCCCUAUCGGAGACAGUGUCUGACGGGCAGUUUGACUGGGGCGGUCGCCUCCUAAAAGGUAACGGAGGCGCCCAAAGGUUCCCUCAGAAUGGUUGGAAAUCAUUCGCAGAGUGUAAAGGUAUAAGGGAGCUUGACUGCGAGAGCUACAACUCGAGCAGGGACGAAAGUCGGGCUUAGUGAUCCGGUGGUUCCGUAUGGAAGGGCCAUCG
RNAcentral lists this ribosomal RNA (2424 nucleotides) under Lactobacillus delbrueckii subsp. bulgaricus. Its description in RNAcentral is "partial 23S ribosomal RNA". It matches the Rfam family "Bacterial large subunit ribosomal RNA", at positions 1 to 2447 of the family's 2925-position model. Lineage: Bacteria; Bacillati; Bacillota; Bacilli; Lactobacillales; Lactobacillaceae. The record is from RNAcentral.